RNAcentral lists this ribosomal RNA (486 nucleotides) under uncultured bacterium. RNAcentral's name for it is "partial 16S ribosomal RNA". It matches the Rfam family "Bacterial small subunit ribosomal RNA", at positions 30 to 507 of the family's 1533-position model. The record is from RNAcentral.
AUUGAACGCUGGCGGCAUGCCUUACACAUGCAAGUCGAACGGCAGCACGGGUGCUUGCACCUGGUGGCGAGUGGCGAACGGGUGAGUAAUACAUCGGAACAUGUCCUGACGUGGGGGAUAGCCCGGCGAAAGCCGGAUUAAUACCGCAUACGAUCUACGGAUGAAAGCGGGGGACCGUCGGGCCUCGCGCUAUCGGGUUGGCCGAUGGCUGAUUAGCUAGUUGGUGGGGUAAAGGCCUACCAAGGCGACGAUCAGUAGCUGGUCUGAGAGGACGACCAGCCACACUGGAACUGAGACACGGCCCAGACUCCUACGGGAGGCAGCAGUUGGGAAUUUUGGACAAUGGGCGAAAGCCUGAUCCAGCAAUGCCGCGUGUGUGAAGAAGGCCUUCGGGUUGUAAAGCACUUUUGUCCGGAAAGAAAUCCUUGGCCCUAAUACGGUCGGGGGAUGACGGUACCGGAAGAAUAAGCACCGGCUAACUACGUG